CCUACGGGUGGCAGCAGUAGGGAAUAUUGCUCAAUGGGGGAAACCCUGAAGCAGCAACGCCGCGUGGAGGAUGACGGUUUUCGGAUUGUAAACUCCUUUUGUUAGAGAAGAUAAUGACGGUAUCUAACGAAUAAGCACCGGCUAACUCCGUGCCAGCAGCCGCGGUCAUACGGAGGGUGGAAGCGUUACUCGGAAUCACUGGGCGGAAAGAGCGCGGAGGCGGGAUAGCAAGUCAGAUGUGAAAUCCUAUGGCUUAACCAUAGAACUGCAUUUGAAACUGUUAUUCUAGAGUAUGGGAGAGGUAGGUGGAAUGCUUGGUGUAGGGGUAAAAUCCGUAGAGAUCAAGAGGAAUACUCAUUGCGAAGGCGACCUGCUAGAACAUAACUGACGCUGAUGCGCGAAAGCGUGGGGAGCAAACAGGAUUAGAUACCCCUGUAGUC
This 440-nucleotide ribosomal RNA is filed under the name uncultured bacterium. RNAcentral's name for it is "partial 16S ribosomal RNA". It matches the Rfam family "Bacterial small subunit ribosomal RNA", at positions 338 to 795 of the family's 1533-position model. The record is from RNAcentral.